This is a long non-coding RNA of Hippopotamus amphibius kiboko, 962 nucleotides long. RefSeq lists it as uncharacterized. Lineage: Eukaryota; Metazoa; Chordata; Mammalia; Artiodactyla; Hippopotamidae. The record is from RefSeq and is a predicted model, not a curated record. The transcript is spliced from 3 exons.
GUUAACUACCGUGAUUUACAGUCCAGUCUCUGCUAGAAUGCUUCUGAUCUUUCUCAAUAAACACGCUGUGGGAACCACAGCUCAGGACUCUUGACUUGCUUGCUCUUGAGUCCCCUGACCCCAUGCUUUCCUAAACUAUUAGGUGAAUUUUCUUAAUUCCACCGUGCCACUCACAUUCAGGUUCAUUCGUGUGGAUGAGAUCACCACAACUGGCGCCUGAACAGGGACCUGAAGUGAAAGGAGUUGCCUGAGCGACUGGUCAGAGACAAAAGACUGGUGGAACCCAACAAACAGAGGGACUUUCCAGAAGACAGAGAGAAAGCGGAGAAAUAUUGUGGCUCCCUGCAAAAUGACUGAAACCCAGAAAUAAACCGGAAAAGGGCAAGAUUCGGCAAAGAUCCACCACUAGAGGAAAGAAUGGCGAAGCUGAAUAUACGACCUUCAGUAACCGUCACCAACACAACUCAGAAAACCCCUCCCAUGACGUGGGGAGUGAUAAAGAAGACCUCGCAUGAAGCUGACAAGAUACUGGAGGGACUGCGCGUACCAGAGACGUCGGCCAACAGUCUGGCAACGUCUCCCCUGACAAAGUCAAAAACAACAACAACUAGCUGUGUAUGCUGUGAAGCUCAGAUGUGUGUCCGAUAAACAAAAAGGGGGAGUUGUAGAGAACCAGAGAGGACACAGAGAACAACGACUUGGAGUAACCUCCGGAGAGCACAUGACCAGCUACAUGGCUGCAAGCAGUUCUGAAAGCAGAACUAGUCUCAAAGGAAAACUGAUUGAGAUAAAGCAGUCAUGUAACCUGACGGCUCCAGCUCCAGGUUACAGCUUCACUAUCUCUCCUAGUAGUUAUAAAAAACAAGGUGUUCUGUUUUUUCUCUAUUUGUGAUGUUAACUAUCAUGAUUUAUAAUCCAGUCUCUGCUAGAAUGCUUUUGAUCUUUCUCAAUAAACACGCUAU